Molecule: ribosomal RNA, 440 nt
Filed under: uncultured bacterium
Lineage: Bacteria
Description: partial 16S ribosomal RNA
Rfam family: Bacterial small subunit ribosomal RNA
Source: RNAcentral
CCUACGGGUGGCAGCAGUGAGGAAUAUUGGUCAAUGGGCGCGAGCCUGAACCAGCCAAGUCGCGUGAGUGAAGAAGUAAUUCGUUAUGUAAAGCUCUAUCAGCAGGGAAGAAAAUGACGGUACCUGAGUAAGAAGCCCCGGCUAACUACGUGCCAGCAGCCGCGGUAAUACGUAGGGGGCAAGCGUUAUCCGGAUUUACUGGGUGUAAAGGGAGCGUAGACGGCAGUGCAAGUCUGGAGUGAAAGGCGGGGGCUCAACCCCCGGACUGCUCUGGAAACUGUACGGCUGGAGUGCAGGAGAGGUAAGUGGAAUUCCUAGUGUAGCGGUGAAAUGCGUAGAUAUUAGGAGGAACACCAGUGGCGAAGGCGGCUUACUGGACUGUAACUGACGUUGAGGCUCGAAAGCGUGGGGAGCAAACAGGAUUAGAUACCCUAGUAGUC